GGAUGUGAGGGCGAUCUGGCUUGACAUCUGUCACCCUAUUGAUCACCCUAUUGUCACCCUAUUGAUUCAGCUGACCUGGUUGGCCAGGCAGGUGUCCCCUUCCUCCCUCAGUGCUGCAUGUGCAUCCCUCCCAAAGCUGCAAAGUUGGUCAAAGGGGACACCCACCCCCAAUAGAGGAGGACCCUUUCCUCAGGCAAGGUUAUACAGAUAGCUGCACUCCCCUACUAGAACCUCCAAACAGGCUCAUAAAAAUCAGAUUAUUGUGCUGAGGUAUGUAACUUAUUUCUAUACCUCAUUUGUUGAAGUUUUUUUUAAAUCAUGAAAUAGUGUUGAAU
Molecule: unclassified non-coding RNA, 335 nt
Organism: Fukomys damarensis (Damara mole-rat)
Lineage: Eukaryota; Metazoa; Chordata; Mammalia; Rodentia; Bathyergidae
Gene: 7SK
Rfam family: 7SK RNA
About the family: 7SK was discovered as an abundant small nuclear RNA in the mid-70s but a possible function has only recently been suggested. Two independent studies have found that 7SK RNA binds the CDK9/cyclin T complex (known as elongation factor P-TEFb).
Source: Ensembl